GACGGAAGGUGCAAGCGUUGCUCGGAAUCACUGGGCGUAAAGGGUGCGUAGGCGGCUGUGUAAGUCUGGCGUGAAAGCCCAGGGCUCAGCCCUGGAAGUGCGCUAGAAACUGCGCGGCUGGAGUGCCGGAGGGGAGAGUGGAAUUCCUGGUGUAGCGGUGAAAUGCGUAGAUAUCAGGAGGAACACCGAUGGCGAAGGCAGGUCUCUGGGCCACUACUGACGCUGAGAAGCGAAAGCAUGGGGAGCGAACAGG
RNAcentral lists this ribosomal RNA (253 nucleotides) under uncultured bacterium. RNAcentral's name for it is "partial 16S ribosomal RNA". It matches the Rfam family "Bacterial small subunit ribosomal RNA", at positions 524 to 776 of the family's 1533-position model. The record is from RNAcentral.